UACAGAGGUCCCAAGCGUUGUUCGGAUUCAUUGGGCGUAAAGGGUGCGUAGGCGGCGAGGUAAGUUGGAUGUGAAAUCCCGGGGCUCAACCCCGGAACUGCAUUCAAUACUGCUUUGCUAGAGUAUUGGAGAGGAGAUUGGAAUUCACGGUGUAGCAGUGAAAUGCGUAGAUAUCGUGAGGAAGACCAGUGGCGAAGGCGAAUCUCUGGACAAUAACUGACGCUGAGGCACGAAGGCUAGGGGAGCAAACGGG
RNAcentral lists this ribosomal RNA (253 nucleotides) under uncultured bacterium. RNAcentral describes it as "partial 16S ribosomal RNA". It matches the Rfam family "Bacterial small subunit ribosomal RNA", at positions 524 to 776 of the family's 1533-position model. The record is from RNAcentral.